UCCAUUUUGCAAUUCAAUUUAUUUUAUGGCUGAGUUGAAAGAGUUCUUUACAUAGUCUGCAUAUUGGAUCCUUGCCAGAUACUCGGUUCACAAUAUUUUCUCCUUUCCAGGGAGUGGUUAUUGCACUUUCUUGAUUACGGUCCCUUGAAGCCUGAACAUUUGGAUGCGGUCCAGUUUAAAUAUUUUACUUCGAUUGCUAAAAUCAAAUUAAGAGAAAAGAUGAGCCAGCAACUGUGAAACGCUCCGCUGACCCCUCUACACUGGGAGAGCAACAGAGGCUCAGAGAGGGCCAGAAACACACCAAGAACUCACAGCAGAGCCUGGCAGAACUGCACGGGGCCCAAGCUGUGCACUUCCAUCCCAGCCCUGGUGUGUGCCAACCUCACGCCGGCCUGUGAGUACUCUUCAGCUCAGCCUGACCCUCCUGUGGGCUCCAGCAAGCCCCAAGGCCUUGAGUGCCUGUGCUUGCUCCACUCUCCCCAGGGCACUUGGGGCCCAUGGCUGGGGCUGCUGGGGCUGGGCCAUGGCGCCAGACCAGUGGGCAGAGAGGCCAGAGGCUCUGUCGCUCCCCGGAGGAGGCAGGCGGCCCCAGGCCCUUCCAGAGGGAAGCUGCAGGUGCAGGCGGGGAGUCUAAUCUGAGCUGCUGUUCCGGUUAAGCGUCUCCAUGUCUUCCAACCGCCCUCUCCUCUCACCUAGGCGUCUGGCCUCCCAGUGCCCGGGAGCCUCCCUGGAGAUAAUGAAUGGUGGUUCCUAUGCUCAGCCUGCAGGCAAGCAAUGCUCAGUAAAUACUACGUCCUCCUCCUUCCCCGGCCUGCAGCGUGGUUAACUUAGGGCCACUGGUGCAGGUGGAGGUGGGGAUGGGGUGGCAGCUGUGUGACCUUUUGUGCUCCCUGAGUCCCACCCUGGCCAGGGAUAUUGGGCUGGGACUUGGGUUGCCAGAUUGGAGCCAGGUGCACAGCCCCCACAAAAGGCAGACCCCAAGUACUGUAGCUGCUAAUGCAGACGGUUCUGAUACCCUGAGCUGUCCCUAAGAAGGCUGCUCGAGGUGGGGAGUGACAGCCCUGGCCAGGACCCGGGACAUCAGGGUCAGCUCUGAUCUGAGCUGCUGCGCUCUGUGACAUUGGGCAGGUCACUUCCGGUCCCUGGUCCUCACCAUAUUCCUACCCUACCGAAGGGGAGAGUUACGCCGACUCCUCCCGAUGGUCCCGUCGAGGCUGCGGCCUCCAGCCUUACACAGGAGCUAUGGCCCAAGCCAAAGCUGAACCUCUGCGGGUACUUUUGUUGGUGCACACAGAAACUGUGCCCCAGGCUCCCUGGGCCAGACCCAUAAACCAGGCCCAUAAAGGCCAGCGGUGAGGCAGCUGGACUCCCUCAAAUAAAAAGCAGGUUCCCAGUGGGAUUGAGAAAGGCCAGUUCCAGCAGCUCUGAGACAAA
Molecule: long non-coding RNA, 1434 nt
Filed under: Fukomys damarensis (Damara mole-rat)
Lineage: Eukaryota; Metazoa; Chordata; Mammalia; Rodentia; Bathyergidae
Description: lncRNA (ENSFDAG00000030489.1)
Source: RNAcentral